RNAcentral lists this long non-coding RNA (16281 nucleotides) under Triticum aestivum (bread wheat). Its description in RNAcentral is "long non-coding RNA (TAES_LNC025411)". Lineage: Eukaryota; Viridiplantae; Streptophyta; Magnoliopsida; Poales; Poaceae. The record is from RNAcentral.
CGAGGAUCCGGCGCGGAUCAAAACCGCCGGUAUCCAUUGCGCCGGCGCGGAUCCCCUUCUGGACCUGACGCUAGACAGGUCCAGGACAUGGCGCCAGCUUCAACGGUGUACAAGAUCCGCCCUCCAGGUAUCACAUAUCUGAAAUUUACAUCCAGAUCUGGAACUUACAUCCAUACACAAAGACAAUGGUAUGAACCUACAUAGCAAAUCUGAAAUUUACAUGAUUUCAUAUACACAGUCAUCACAUACACACUGCCAGCACAUACACACAGACAUAUCUGGAAUUUACAUCCAUACAGAAAUACAAUGGUAUGAACCUACAUAGUAGAUGUGAAAUUUACAUGAUUUCAUAUACACAGCCAUCACAUACACACUGCCAGCACAUGCACACAGACAUAUCUGAAAUUUACAUAUAUACACAAAGACAAUGGUGUGAAACUCACAAAAUACAAAUCAAUAACAUAAUAGAUGCAAGCCAAAACUACUUCUAAGUAGCAAACCAGUGAACAACUAUAAACCGUAGAACUUAGGGAACCACAGCCAAAAAAAAUGUGACUGCGUGUAAAAAUAAAAGAAAUAUUUCUUUGCAGGUAGGACGUGCCAGAGUUCUUCAAAACAUUUGAUGCAGAAGAUUUAGUGCAAAGGAGAAUGAUAUAUAUUUCACUCUCAAAAAUAUAAACAAAGGUUAUCCCAGAAUCAAAAGCUCCCACUUGUUGUGGGGUCCUGGGAAAGGGAAUUAUUAGGUUCUUACCCAACAUUUCCCUUGUUUGAUUUUUUAAGGAUACUGACUCAAACCCUGGACUUCCAGGAUACAAGUGGAGAUAUUGCCAUUCUCUUGAGAAACAAGCCCAAUAAUAAGGGUUUGGUUCUAAAAGUAAUCCUGGACCUCGAGGACACAGAUGGAGAUAAUUUGUUUGUUAAUGAUAGCUCAACGAGAAAUUAAAAAAUGAUAAUCAAAUUAACGGUAUAAAUAUGAACCUAGCGUUCCAUAUCAUGUGCUCUGGUACGGGUCCCAAAACCCUCUCCAUCAUUGCUAUGUGUUCCAGGUUCUCAUGUGUCUGAAACAUAUAUCAAGGUAAAAGAGGAAAGACAGGCAUCACAAGCAAUCUAACCGAGCCUAAGCCUGCCAAAGGAAUAUUCCAUAACAUCAGAACUCAGGAUUCCACUCUUGGAGUAGAAACAGUAGCCACUGCUACAGCAGUUGGUCUAACACCAAGGAAAAAGGAGAAAAGAUGAGUUCUUAUUCAACAAAGAAAGAACAGAGUUCAGUAUAAUCAAUAUUUAUCGGUAGUUCAGUGGGGUAGAAUAAGAGGAUCAUUGUGCAGGUUUCAGCUUGACAUGUAUAAAACGCACUGUACAAUUUAGACCAAUAAAUACCCAACUGUAGUAACCACUAACGGGCACUCUACAUGUGCCUUUUGCUGAAUGUGUUCUAUGUUUAGAUUAAAGUUCAAGAUCUGCUUAAAGUUCAAGAUAGAAUAAAGUCGAGGAACUCAAUGAUUGACUGUUGAUGCUUUGAAUUAAAGUACCUUCUUAUUCAUGCCUUCAAGUUCGCCAUAUCUCUUGCGUUCAUGUUGCAUCCAUUAUAUCCAUCUGAUCAUCUCCCAGGCCUCAAAAACACCAGAGCCAGCGGUCAUUUCAUUUGCGAGUGGGUAAUGCAAGAAGCAAAGCCGGUGAACAUGAACAAGAAGAUGGCAUAGCUACAGGUGGUGUUCACUGUACUAUGAAUACUUGCUUUUCUGCUAAUUACGCUUCUUGCAUAAUGUGUUGCAGAUCAGAUGAGCGUAAAACAUGCUGAAGAAUACAACGCAAACUUGAUACCCGUUGAUGAACAAGUAGAUGCUAUUCGCGCGAUUGAACCAGGUAUAUAAACUGUGAAAAUACUGUGAUGUGAUGCCUAACGUGCAAGUCUAAAAAUGACUUGUACCAUGCUUAAUGUCUUGCAGCACCUACGAGCGUGACAAAAAUGAAAGAUGGUAAUCCAAACAACAUAUCCAUAGCUGCAGAUGUUGAUCCUUUUUACACGACGGAGACAGGUACAUGAUUGAUUGCGUGCAUAGCAGACAAAUAUUGAAGUUGUAUUCAUGCUUACUAUACUCUACAGAAGGACCGGAAAGGGUAAGGCCUGGGUACCAUGAUGAUGGUCAAACAUUAACACCUAUGGCUAGCCUAACACUCCAUCAUGCCAUUCAUAACAUGCAGCUACGAGAUAAUUCUCAAGGUAUCCAUAGGCAUGUUAUCCACCUUCCCAACCGUCGUUUUAUUUGUUUUCUUAUUUGUAUUUAUACAUGCAGACGACACUGCUUCCGAACAUCAUGAAACUCUAUCAUUAAAUAAUGAAUGCAAAAAAUACGCGGAUAAUGCAAGGGCGGAGUACAAUGCAAGGAAACGUGCAGCUUAUCGGAUUAAACGAAAUGAGGAUAGUGUCAGCUUACAAAAUGAGAAUCAGCCGGUAGUUGCAAAAUCUGGUAAGCUUGAUGGACACUCUUAGUUUGAUGUGCAUACGUAUGUUGCGUAGUAGGUAAUAUUGUGCUUAUAUCCCGGGUAACAGAAUGUAUGAUGCACAAUAAUUUGCCACUUAUUAGAUCAUAGGGAUCUUAUCAACGCUCGUAGGGACAUGAUAAGGCUUCUUUCAGCAUUGACCAGCCAGACGCUGAUGGUAACAUUGAUGAGAUCAAGAGAUACGUUGACGCAAGAUGGGUCACCCCUCCGGAGGCUAUGUGGAGGAUAUUUGGUUUCCCACUGUGUGCCAAUUACCCGCCUGUCUUGCAGUUGCCUCUUCAUCUCCCGAAUAUGCACAGGGUUGCAUUCAAUGCACAGGCUGACUUGAACAAUGUUGUUUCCUCCGAGAAUGCUUCAAAAUCCAUGUUAACGGAAUAUUUCAAGGCAAACGAAAAACACCCUUGGGCAAGGCAUAUAUUGUACAAGGAUUUCCCCGGAAGCUUCACGUGGGAGAAGAAGAAGAAGUUCUGGAAGAAGCGAGUGGAGCGUUUUCAGAUAGGUCGUAUCGUGUCUGCCAAUCCUGCCGAGGGGGAGCGAUACUACCUUCGUGUGUUGUUGAACCAUGUUACAGGGAAAACAUCAUUUGAGGACUUGCUCACCGUCAACGGCGUUGUAUGUGGGAGCUUUAGAGAGGCCGGUGAAAGGUUGGGACUCAUCGAGGCAAACAACACGCUCGACGACUGUCUUACUGAGGCGGAGUAGUGGGCUAUGCCAUGUUCUCUUAGGAGGCUCUUUGCAACAAUAUUGGUGCACUGCGAGCCAGGCGAUGUGCGCGGUUUAUGGGAUAGACACCUCGAGCCUAUGUCCGAUGACUUCCGUCGGACACGCACGUCCCCGAACGAGGUGGAGCAGAUGGUGUUGCUUGACAUUAGGGGUAUGUUGCAGUCGAUGGGUAAAGACAUUAUUGAUUUCGCUCUUCCAACGAUCGAUGAUGCGUUUGACCCAACCGAGGGCGAGGCCAGAGAGAUCAUCGAGGAAUCAACUGUUGAGUUUGACGAAAGUGACACUAAAUUGUCAUCUUCCCUGAAUUUUGAGCAAAGGGCUGCAUACGAUGAAAUACUAGCGUCUGUUGAAUGUGGUGAUGGGGUAUAUUCUUUGUUGAUGGUCCUGGAGGUACGGGGAAGACCUUCCUCUACAGGGCGAUGCUCGCCAAGGUGAGGCGCGAGGGCAAGAUUGAUAUCGCUACCGCGAUGUCGGGUGUCGCUGCUUCUAUCAUGCCUGGCGGCAGGACUGCCCACUCAAGGUUCAAAAUCCCACUGAGUUGCGAUGAUGGAGCGUCGUGCAACUUCACCAAGCAAAGUGGGACCGCCAAGCUGCUAAGGGUGGCCUCAUUGAUACUAUGGGACGAGGCCAGCAUGACUAAGCGACAAGCGGUUGAGGCAUUAGACAAUAGCAUGCGCGACAUCAUGGGAAUACGCGACCGACCCUUUGGAGGAAAGACAGUUGUUUUUGGCGGGGACUUUAGGCAGGUGCUUCUGGUCGUCAGAAGGGGGUCACGGGGCCAGAUAAUUGAUGCAAGCCUCCGAAGUUCUCAUCUAUGGAAGAGUAUGCGACAGCUUCGGCUCAUCACCAACAUGAGGGCUGGUAAUGACACUUGGUUUGCAGAUUACUUGCUCAGGGUCGGUAAUGGCACUGAGGAAGCCGACGACCAAGGCAACAUAAUACUCCCUGAUGAUAUUUGUCUGCCAUCAACAGGUGAGGUUGACGACCUGGAGAAGCUGAUUGACCACGUGUUUCCAAGUCUAGAUGACAACAUGGCAGAUUCGAGUUACAUGACAUCUCGCGCAAUCCUUUCCACGACAAAUGACAACGUCGACAAGAUAAACAUCCGCUUGAUAGAGCGUUUCCAAGGAGAUGAAGUAAUCUACCAUAGCUUUGACAGUGCGGAGGACGACCCAUAUGGCUACUAUGCUCCUGAGUUUCUAAAUGGAUUGACUCCCAAUGGUCUUCCUCCGCAUGCACUCAAACUAAAGCUGAACUGCCCUGUGAUACUUCUAAGGAACAUUGAUCCAGCUAAUGGUCUGUGUAACGAGACUAGGCUUGUUGUUAGAGGUUUUGAGAUGAACACCAUUGAUGCAGAAAUCGUGAUUGGACAACACGCUGGUAGGAGGGUCUUCCUUCCUCGAAUACCUCUAUGCCCAUCUGACAACGACAUGUUUCCUUUCAAGUUUAAGAGGAAGCAAUUUCCUAUAAGGCUUAGCUUUGCUAUGACGAUUAACAAGGCUCAAGGGCAGACCAUCCCCAUUAUUGGUGUGUAUCUAUCUAAUCUAGUGUUCUCUCAUGGUCAACUCUAUGUUGCUUUGUCUCGAGCCAUCGUGAAGAGAAACAUUAAAAUACUUAUUCAGAAGGAGAAGCCAAAGGAUAAGGCCAACAAGCAACAUAACAACCUGAAGAAGCGUAAAAGACCGACCGUUUCCUUGCUGACUUCAAUGAAGAACAUCGUCUACAAGGAAGUACUUACAGGAUGAAGUUAGGUCGUAUAAGACCUGGUGGAAUUAUAUAUGCAAUUUACUCUUCCGAUGGUCAAGAAUUGCUGUAAUGCGGUUGUAUGACAUAUUUUUUCAUUUGGUAUCUCGGUUGUUAGAGGUAUACACCAAUAAGUUAAAGUAAUAAAUCCAUUUCAAUAAAUUUAUACUGUGUUAUGUGUAAUCUGAUUUUGUACAUGACACACAGCGUACUGUGUUAUGUGUAAGACUAGAAUCAGAAAUAAUGAUUGGUUUCAUGAAGAUCUGCAUCAUGUUUAAUUAAUAUUUAACCUUUAUCACUGUUAUUUGCUUUCCACUAUCGCAAUUUUUCUGGCAAUGUAUAUGUCACACAGCGUACCGUGUUAUUUGUAAUUUGAUAUUCCGAAAUAAUGUUUGGCUUCAUAUAGAGCCGCUACCUGUUACAUUUACUUUGUACAGUUUGAUUAAAACCUGUAGCAUGCAUGUGAUGUCAUCAUUUAGCAUGCAGAUUAUAUUUGAUACAUUGAAUUUCAGUGUGUGAUAAAUUUAUUUACAUACUCAUUAAAUGGCUAAAAUCUUACAUGUUGGCCUACUGCCUUGAGCUUUAUGAGUGUGUAUGACUGUGUAAUAUAUCCUUUGUUCAACCCACUUUUAAAUGGUGUGCAUUUUUCAUGUACAGCUAUAGCUAUGAAGGUCUCUUUUUAUUUAGUUCCCUAAUUCUUGUUUAUUUUUUGAUGUUCUCAUCCCUCUUUGAACAAGGAGAUGUAAGUAAAUGAUACAGCUGGCACAAACUUGAAUGAAAUGUUGAUGCAUUCAACGUAGACUUGGACAUGUUACAGCUGGCACAAACAGUAUUCAACGUGGUUCUAAUAAAAUCCCGUGUAUAAGUAAAUGUUACAGCUGGCACCAUCAUCGUUGUUAUAUCUUUUCUACUAUCGCAAUGUUUAUGGCAGUGUACAUGUCACCCACCAUAGUAUUUCAUGUGUAAUAUGUGAUUUAGAUAUAAUGAUUGGCCUGAAAAAUACCUGGAACAUGCAAUGAAACUUUUGUUUUAUGGCAAGUGAUCAUGUCCAUUGUUAUUAUUUUGAUAUUUUGAUAUUUUGAUAUUAUGGUUGAAUGUAAAUUUAUUGGCGUCCUUAUUAUCCCUGUAUGUAUCUGAUAGGUCAGAAGUAUAGGAUUACGACUGGUCCUAAUUAUAAGACCAACACACGCAGAACGGAAUUUUGUGCAGCUUUUCAAGAUAUAUUUUCCAUAUGUACAUCUAAUAAAUAAUAAAAUGGUAGCCUGCGUUCUUGCAAAUAUGCUCAAAUGCCCGUGUGACUUUGGAAAAAAGAUUGAUUACUUGUACUUUCAUGCGUCUAAACUAAUUAUUUAUUAGUUCAGUUCAAGUUUCAUUUUUAUUUUUUGCAUUGGUUCAUGUACCUUCAUUAGUUUACUGCGGAUCUGAAAGAGUUCUAACCUAAAAAAUUGUACAAGGCUGCAUUAAACGAUUGGUUCAGAGAGCAAGCAUCGUUCUGCAGUAUCUUAAGGACGCUUGUUGGGCUGAGGGUGGUCGACUUAUAGGUUGCACCCAGCCAAGACGAUUGUCUGUGCAGGUAUCAACUGUUUAAAUGUUCAUCAAAAUGUGUAUCCUUCUCUAGAUGCCAUGUAAUACUAGGUUUCUCUUUUUACCUUCUGACAUGAGCAUGCACCAGAUUAUUCUUUUGGGUACGUCCCUAGCAACUAGCAUGGCGAGUAAGGAUCUUAGCUAAUUAUCUAGAGCAAGCUUCUAUAUUACUUAUGGAUAUGCUGGUGCAACAUGAAUCAAACCCGGGCAACAUGAAUCUAAGAAAUAAAUUAUUAGAGAUAGAUAACUCCUAAAAGAUAAGCUUGGAGGACUUUUGCAGAGCUCCCAGCCACGGAGAUUUAUCCAGCUUCCACUUUGUUACCUAGCCGUUUGUGAUGACAGGGUUGCCAUGUGGUAGUGGCCAUAGUGCCCAAAAGUGUGUCUGUAACAGGAGACUUCAUCCUGCAAAAUUAUUCAUGUGCUCCGGCAGUGAUUUCUAACAUCCUAUACGGAGCAGUCAUCUGAUAGAACCAUGUCUGUACUAAUUAGAAGAUGGUAGCUGAACUUUUGUUUACUGCAUUGGUAUUACUAAUUUCCAUAUGUUUGAAUUUUUUUACAAGGUAUGGGUUGCGUUCUAUUUUACAUUUGUUGUCAAUGUAUUUUUUAUGUAGUACUAUGUCACUACUAUAUAACACUGAUUUUUAGCGUAGAUAUCCAUGAAGCCAGCCUCAUGACACUUGACGAAACACGUGCGUACGUCAAUGGUGUUGUUCAAGCUAGGAACAAUGGAGACUAGAAGUAUCUGUGUACACAAGUGCACAAUUUGGAGAAUGUGACAAUGCACGUGUCUGAUCGCUGAAGUGUGCAGUAUUUUGGAAAAAAGAUUUAUUAUCUGUACUUUCACGUAUCUAAACUAAUUAUUUAUCAGUUCAGCUCAAGUUUCAUUUUAAUUUCUUGCGUUGGCUCAUGUACCUUCAUGAGUUUAAUGCUGAUCUGAAAGAGUUCUAACCUAAAAAAUUGUAGAAGGCUGCAUUAAUCUAGGACCUAGCGAGUAUUGGUUCAGAGAGGAAGCAUCGUUCUGUAGUAUUUUAAUGACGCUGGUUGGGCUGAGGGUCGUCGACUUAAAGGUUCCACCCAGCCAAGACGUUUGGCUGUGCAGGUAUCAACUGUUUAAAUGUUCAUCAAAAUGUGUAUCCUUUUCUAGAUGCCAUUUAAUACUAGGUUUCUCUAUUUACCUUCUGAUCAUAGCAUGCACCAGAUUAUAUUCUUUUGGGUACGUCCGUAGCAACUAGCAUGGCGACUAAGGCUCUUAGCUAAUUAUCUAGAGCAAGCUUUUGUAUUACUUAUGGAUUUUCUGGUGCAACAUGAUUCAAACCCGGGCAACAUGAAUCAAAUAAAUAAAUUAUUAGAGAUUGAUAACUCCUAAAAGAUAAGCUUGGAGGACUUUCUCUGGCCUCAGCCACGGAGAUUUAUCCAGCUUCCCCUUUGUGACCUACCCAUUUGUGACAGGGUUGCCAUGUGGUAGUGGCCAUAGUGUCCAAAAGUGUGUCUGUAACAGGAGACUUCAGCCUGCAAAAUUAUUCAUGUGCUCCGGCAGUGAUUUCUAACAUCCUAUACGGAGCAGUCAGCUGAUUGAACCAUAACUGUACUGCUUAGAAGAUGGUAGCUGAAAAUGUUUGAAUUUGUUUCCUGCUCUUAGGCUACCUUUGUAGAUGCAUAUCCUCUGCUCUCACUUACCUUUUCAACCCAUUUUAAUAAUUUGGACAGACGCUUGCAUCUAGAGUAGCUGAAGAAGUUGGUGUGGAACUUGGAGAAGAAGUACGAUAUACAAUAAGAUUUGAGGAUGAAACAAACCCUGUAUGAUAUAAGUUUUUAUCCUUUCACUGAUUUUCUUUGUCUGAAUUCUACAGCGUGGAACACAUUUUUGUACUAAUUUGUUUAUUGUCAUGUACUCUGCUUAUGCCUACAUCGUUUGACACGGCAUGACCAUGUUCAUAUUGCCUACAUCCGUGCGUUUGCGUGGCCGCCGAGGCUGGAUACCUGGAGCUGCUAGAAGGAUGGUGGCAUCGGCCGCUGCUGGAGGGGAUCAGUUCGUUUCGAGGUGUAGGGAGAGAAUAGAGGGACGGAUGGAGGAAGGCGAAUCCAUGGGCUUGCUGGCUUCUGCUGCUCCUUUCGGGAGAGAGCGAGAGAUGAGCCAUUUUUUUGACCGUAUGAUGUCGCUCAUGUGCUGCUUCUGCUAAUGCAUGGACAGAGAGUGGCAUCUGUCUAAUACCGUUGCUGCUAAUGCAUUGGCAUAGAUAGACAAAAUUAUGUUUAUCAUUUGUACGUAUGUGUGUUGUACAGAUUGUUAUGAUGAAAAAGAACAAAAAAUAUGAUCUUUUGCAAAUCUUUGUUUGACAGAAAUAUUUGUAGUCCAAUAAUAUUUUUUGAUAUACAUUAGGAUCGUAAAUUUAUUGUGUUAUACAUGAUUUAUUUGAAAAUACUAAUAUUAACAUUUGUCCCGUAGCUAUGCACGGGCAAUAACCUAUAACAUAAUUAAAGAUAUCAUCAAGGUAAUGGAAAAUAACAUAAUAGAAGGGAAAACAAUAAAUAAAUUAAUGUGAUUAUCAUAAAGGUUAAGAAAUAUUCAUAUAGAAGAAAAUUAAUUUUUCAUAGGCAACUGAAAAAUCAGAUACGUUUUCAUAGGCAAGUGAUCAUAAAUCACAAAUUUGCAUUAAUGAAAUAUAAUAUGAAUCAUUACGAAGGAUCAUGGCCCGAUUUUGAGAUGUCUGUUUCCUUGUUUAAUAAACAAUUUUUAAUAGGCUGCCAAAUAUUAAAUAUCUUAAUAUAGAUAUGUCACCCACGGGGGCGUAGCCAGCCAAAAACAAAUUUUCAUCACUAUUUCGUUUUCCCGCCGCCCUAUGCUUAUAUAAAAAAGCCCCGCUGCACCAUAUUUGUCACCAUCUUUAUGUAGAGGAGAAGUCAUCUCCUCCACGACUACAAUGGUAAUCUCAUAUGGAUCGUUCACCUCUAAGAGGAUGAUGGCGUCGCCGCCAGUUCCUGUCAUCAGUCAACCCAUCACCCCUCCGAUUAACAGGCAAGAUAGAAUAAUCUUUUUGUACGUAUAGUUGCCAUCACUAGAUAAUGUGUUAUUUUAUUGAAAUAAUCACCAUUGUUUGGCCACUAUAAUGUUAUGUUCGUUGUUUGGUUAUUUUUAUCCUCCCCUUGCAAAAUAAUUUUACCUCAUCCUUUUGUUUUUAUUCUACGCACAGGAACUUGAAUUGUCAUCGCGUCCAAAUGGAGCACAUAUAUCAGAAUUGCUAGAUUAUUCAAGCUAGGGUCAUGUGGAAGGCUCACAUCAAAGAGAAUGCCAUGGGAAACUUGUACCUUCAGUUCAUACUACUUGAUCGGCUGGUAAGGCAUUAAUCAUCUACUUGAUAGCCCGCAUUUUCAAAAUACAAUAUUGAUAAACAUGUAUUUUUUUGCUCAUAGUUGUUAUGAUUCAUAAAUAUAUAUUAGGGAACAAAGUUGGAAGCGAUUGCGUACAACAGGCAGGCAAUCCGUUUCAACAACAUACUACAAACCGGUAGGACCUAUGAUUUCAAUCGCGUCCGGUUCAACCCCACAGAUUUGCCAGAUGGACAUUUCUGGUACCUAGCCAUGGACUUUGUCACCACACUAACUGCUACGACUGAGGUUAGGAUGUCGGCACAGCAAAUAACACCGACAAUUUUCCCACCGUGCUUCCCACAGUUUGGAGAAAUAUUUGAGCUACGGGACAAAACCAUCACUGGUGCAUCAUCUUUAUAUUUGUUCUCGCAUAUUAAUCCGUACAACUCAGCAUCUCAUUGUUAUUUCAAAUUUGCAAUUUCAAAUUUGCAGAUGUGGUUGCUAUCCUUGCCUACGUUGGUCAGAUAGAAUAUAAGUGGGAUUCAAUAUAUGAACGCCGCGUCCCUUCACUCGAGAUUGGCCUCAUGAACUUUUAGUAAGCGCCAUUUAUGAUUUGAGAUUUUCAUAUGCUUUUUUUUGUAAUUUUAUUGUUGCAAUGAUAGACUAACAUUUGUAUUUGUCUGUAGACGGCAGAUAAUUUUCUUACGUGUACGUGAAGAGCACGUUGGGCGACACUUCUGCCACUUGCAAUGCACUGACAAGCUGUUCGAGAAGCUUGUUGUUACUUACAUUCAGGUAAAUCGAAGGCAGCGAUGCUUGCAAACUAUGAGGGAGAGCACAUUCUUCUUCUCUCCUAACAUUAAUGAUGAUCAUCAUUAUCUACAAGGUAGGGGUUGCGUUCUAUUUUAAAUUUGUUGUCAAUGUAUUUUUUAUGUACUACUAUGUCACUACUAUAUAACACUGAUUUUUAUCGUAGAUAUCCAUGAAGCCAGCCUCAUGACACUUGACGAAACACGUGCGUACGUCAAUGGUGUUGUUCAAUCUAGGAACAAUGGAGGCUAGAAUUAUAUUUGUACGCAAGUGCACAAUUUGUCUUAGAUAUAAAAAUGUAUGAACGCUUUGCAUGCAACAUUUUGUUGCCAAUUGUCACAUUAUGAAGUGUUCGAUUAUGUCUUGGAGGUUUAAUAAUAUGUGAUAUUCAAUAAAAAAAUCUAUCUAACAGUGUCGUCAUAUUUCAGAGCCAUAUAAUGUGAAGUUCUGAACUAUAUAUUUGACUAAUAUAUAUUUGAUGACCAAACUGUCCAUAAUGGACUUCAAAUGGUAGCCUGUCUACUCUCAUUUGAGCUACACGUAUGAAUCUCUUUCAGUCUAGGUUCAAAUUUGUUAAUAUACAGUGCAGCGCAAAAAGGAAAAUAUGUUUACCUUGACAGAUGCUAUCGCAUGCUAUCAUGCAUUAUGACAUUCCAAAGAUAAUAUAAUUAAUUUUGUACAUGGAAUCAAGGACUGCCGUAUGCCCAUGCGUUGUGUUUUUUUCUACACACGGAAACAAUAGUUCUUCAAGUGACGCGGGCUUUUUGAUCGUGGUGAGGAGGACAAAAAUAUAAGAAGAAAACUUUGUGUUUCUUUAUAUUUCUCAGACACCCGUGUUUGACGUAUAUUUGGGAAAUAAACUAAUUGUUUCUUUUUAUAUAUCUGGAGGCAAAGUUUGGAAAGGAGUCAUAGAUUAGGAAAUAUAUAAUCCGGCGUUGAUACAUUUGCCAGGUGGAGCAUGCAACGAAAAUAAUUUUAUACCAUGUUUUCCUAUAGUUUUUGUUAUGGAAUAUUGCCAUUACAGAAGGAUAUGGGCCACCUUCUGAGUACAUGCCCACGAUUCCUCCCGGCGAGGAUAUGUCAAUUAGAAUUAUAAUUAUCAUUAAAGUCAUUUCCUUCCAAAAUGUUAUAUUGUCCAAUCUCCCGGUCCGGCCUACCAUACGUUCAAUGGGUUUCCCAGUGUGGCCAUUAAUAUUCCCUUAAUCGGAUAUGUUUCUAAGGAAAGUUAUAUUAGGCUUCUUCCGAUCGGGAAAGAGAGACAUAUAUAAUAGAUAUAUAAUCCGGCGUAUAUUUAUUUGCCCAAUGGAGUUUGGAAGAAAAAUAUAUGCUUGUCCUUUUAUUAGCAAGGAUCUAUAAUGGAAACGUGCACGGAUGGAAUAAUAAAGGGCACCUUCCAAUCCAUACAACAUGCUAAUGCGUCACCGACCUGGUGCCGGACACUCAUAUAUACUCAUAUAUAUGGUCCGGCUGUGAGUCCACCGUUGUCCACUGCCCCCUCGCUCGCUCGUUUUGGUGCUAAGACGACUUUCUGCCCGUGCCAAUGGCUGCAAUGCCGAUUUUUGAUGGAGUGAACGACGCAGUCGAGUACAUAUACAACUACGUCAUGCUUUCCUCAGUCGAGGAGCAGUUAGAGUUUGUUCUGGCAUCCCUAAACUCUAUCUAUAAUUUAUUUGCAAUUAUUAGCUGCAGAUCAGUACCAUUAUAUUAUGCAUUAUCGGCAUCUUAUUUUGAACCCGAGUAAAAAUUUGUUCUUUCACAUAACCCACGUCGAUGAGUUGGUCACGUUCAUAAGUUGUUGCAUGGAUGCACUGGUUAGGAUCAUGCGAUCCUUUCUAAGUCUAUACGGUUCUUAAGAUCUAACGUAGUGGUUGCAAAAAUCUGUUCAUGCGCUAAUAUUAUCCUUUUACAUUACGCCAUGUUAGUACCAUCCACAGCACGUUAUUUUAAACUACAAAUUUUCAAUGAACUGUAGUAUAUUGCAACGGGUCCUGGUGCAUGAUACAUGUACCAUUUAUAGUUUUUAUCAUAUGUGUAAUAGGAAUAAGUUGCAACCGAACAUAUCAUAAUAGAUUUCGUUAUCUUAUGAAAUAGUAUUUAUUUCCUCAAAUGACAUGACAACUCCAAUUUUUAGGUACACACAUUUCAGACCUUUCUAGAGUUGUGAAUACUAAGUAUUGUUUGCCCACAUAUUGAAGUACAAUAUUUUUAUGAUACCCUGAUUUUAUCAGGCCGGUUUAUUUGCAGCACAAUAUGGAUAAGGAGCCCUCGUCCAUUCGUGAUCGAGUUAAGUCUACGGACUAUCCAAGACACCAUGCGAGGUGAUACAUGGAUCAAUCCGAGCUGCUUCGAUAUUGCAGUGCGUAAGCUUAGUAGGGACGCGAUACAGAGGAACGCAGGAACAGACUUUGUUGGCUCCACACAUAUAUUUGAUUUGCAAUUCCAUGGCCUAGCACAGGUGCUGAGUCAGACUAGCUUAUGCCAAGCUGAACGCACCAACUUGUUGAUUAACAAUGUCAUUGUACGGCCUUUGCCGAAAUACAACGUGCUCAUGACCCCUUCCAUUGUAAGGAUUUUCCUUUUUAAAAUUUGGUGUGUAUACUAUCUGUUCACCAUUAACUUUGUAUACUUAUUGUAGUACCUAUUGCCGUUGUAUUUGGUGGAUUCCUCGUACGGCCUCCUUGCAAUUAAUACUGAAAAUAGGAGGACUCUCCCGAUUGAUCAUUCUAACGAGUCAUUCAUAGGCUCAGAGGACUUUCAUGACAAGGAACUUAAGAAGGAAGCCCUGAUAGUUCUGCAAGAAUUUGGCAGUGUAUUGCAACAGGAGAGGCCUGGUUUGAAUCCCCAACUCGUGGAUUGGCCACAAGAUCAUACCUAUAUUACAGCCCCGCGGUAAAUGUUUUAAUUGGUCAUGCACAUUAUAGCCUCACUGGUAUAGGUUCUAACAUAUGGAGUUUUUUUGUCACAGCCUGGACUCUGGAUUCAAACUCCUACAAGAGAUGGCUCACCAAGAUGAUACUCUCGGGCAUAACAUUUCCAGGACUUCGGUAGGUGCAUAUAUAACAAGUUUCUCUCUUCCAUAUAUUUGUUGAAUAUAAAUUUUUGUUCUUCCACUCACAUAGGUUUGUUGUGCAAUUCAUUCUUCAGCAAUUUAUUCCCUACAUAUAUAUAACAAUUCAUUUUUUUAUGUUUUCUAGGAUGCAAUACAGCUCAGAAAGAACUUGCUGGUCCAGAUGCUGACGAUCAAAGGCAAUGAAGCAGCUGGAAACAUCCCAGCUGAAAUUACAGCGGCCUUGAUGUUUUUGGACGAAUGAAUAUCGUAUCCGCGUCGAGCACAACCGAGCGCCUCUAUUUCCGGUGAGGCCAACUAUCCAGAAUCCUCCCGCAUCUUAAAUCCAUUGACGCUUUUCUAUUAUAGGCUUUGUUCUAUGUAGAUACCGAAUUAGCACCGCUAAACUUUUAAUCUGGAAAUACCACUAUAGAGUACUUUGCCCUGUAAUUAACAAGUCUUCCUUCGUUGCCGCGCAAGUACUUCUCUUGCAUUCCCUGAAAUAUAAAGUAUAUACUAUCUCUACUUCCUAAUCAGUUUGAAAGAUUAAUUCAAACUAUGCAUGCUCCUAAGAAGGAGAAGUUCUUUAUUAUCUUGCAUGUACUUUCACCAGAAUGAUUAUUUUCGUUAUACCUCACUGACCAAUGAUGUCAGGCUUUACUUCGUCCAAAAUCAGCACAUACCAGCUAGCGAAUAUUCAACAUAAAAAUAUGAUGGUUAUAGGCACAUACCUUUCAUUGCCUUUAAUCUUCAAGUUCUCCUUGAUCUGCUCUCUACCCAUGUUCGAACAUGAUCCAAAUUUCUCUUUCAUGCUCAUGAGUUUCUAAUAACACACUGAAUUACUUUUAUGUGUUCCUGAAUAGAGUAACCAAAUUAAGUGAAAAUGGGUUUUCUUCUUGACUACAUAAAGUAGAAGACGGUACCAGCAUUUUCCGACAAAGAGGGAGGGGGAGGAAAUAAUUUAUCAUUAAGCUACUCUAAGGGAGUCACAUCUUUUAGAUUCAUCUUUAAAUGUAAGGAGAAAGCUGUGAUAAUGUAGCCAUAGAGGAACAAAUCCAAAAUACACAAAACAAAUACAUUGUAGCUAUCAUGAGUUUUGUUGUUGGGGUCAGGCAAUUGAAGAUUGUGGUCAUAAAUGCAGUAAAGCAUGCCUCUACUUAUGAGAGAACAACUGAAAUUACAAUAAACUCCACACUGAUUAUAAGUAUAUUGUUUGUACAAAAUGCUAAAAAGGAAAAUAGGUCUUCAUAAAUUGAAGAUAGUUCAGCCACAUCAGAUUCAGCACUACACAUAACUCGCGUACAUAUAUGCAUUGUUAAAUACACUUGCUAAUCACAUCAAUACAAAAAUUUCCUUUUGAGGUUUUGCAGCUCUUUGGAAAUAAAACAAAAGCAACCAAAGGGCAGCUUCGAAUACCUUGCCUGCGGAGACCAUGCAUGUUCAGCAAUGAACCUCACCAGGACUCAAUCAUUUGGCAUGAACAGAAUGCUGGGCUGCAGCACACAACAAGAAGAACCAGUUCAACACGGAGUUAAUUUGAAAAAACCAAUGUCCAAGACAAUUUGUAGUUAACAAAAAUUAACAUUAUUGUUUCAGCUAACAACAAAAAUUAACAUUAUUGUUUUAGUUAACAACUCCUUUCUUGCACGGACAUGUAUUAUGUGAUCAAGCAGUAAAAAGCAUUUAAGGGAUUAUCUAAGUAAAAAAUUUAGAGAGAAAAACAAAACUUUCAGACCAUGAACCACCGGUCUUCACAAAAUAAGUUGUCUGAGGUUAGUUAUCUGCCUAAGAGAGCGUGUACUGCACGUCGAUGAUGCCCAUUUGCUCUAUAGGAUCCUGCACAAUUUACAGAUGUUUUUCCACUAUCAUGCGCCCAUGGACGAGGCACCUUUAGAAGUGUUUGGCAUAUUAUGCAUCUCCGAAAAUAUUUAAAUCAGACCCCAUGCGUGGAACAACUUGUUCUGCCUGAUAUAUGUGUGCAACAUGUCAGAUGCAAAUAAUUCGAUCAACUAAUUAUUUAGUCUAAUCAGCAUUGUGCUAAGCAAUCAAUCAAUCAAUUUAUAUAUUGGUUCAUAUGCCAACACAUCUACAAACAUCCCUGGUAAAUACUGGAGCCAACACCUCCACAAACCCGUGUGAGCUGCAACCUCCACACACAGAAUUGCCUGCUAUUGAUUGAAGAGGAAGAGUAGCUAUACCUGGUACGGCUCUAUGAACUGUUCUCAUCUGCGUCGACCGCAUCCGAAGCCUCGACGGCCACCAUCCUUCUCAUGUCGCUGGCACGGCAGGCUCGACAAAGGGGCGGGUGUCGAUUUGGGGAGAGGAGGACUCGGCCCCGAGGCGGUAGAGGCACGGGAAGGACCCGUCGCCGCUGGCGGCGGCGAGGACAAGUCGAGCACUGCCAAGCGCGGCCGCGAGAUUCGCAAGGUCGGCGCGAGCAGGGCAGUCGGCGAAGACGGCAUGGGCAGGGAGGCGGCGAGGUGCUUCCUAGGAGAGCGAGCGGCGGUCGAGGAGGCCGAGGAUCAGGGAGAGGCGGAGGCUGCGGCUAGCGGUGGGAGAAGACU